UUGAUCCUGGCUCAGGAUGAACGCUAGCGGCGCGCUUAACGCAUGCAAGUCGAGCGAUGAGGCUCCCUUCGGGGGGUACAUCAGCGGCAGACGGGUGAGUAACAUGUAGGUAACCUGCCCUCAAGACGGGGAUAACGCCUGGAAACGGGCGCUAAUACCGGAUGACCUUAGUUGGGGAAGCACGGCUAAGGAAAGGCUUUGGCGCUUGAGGAGGGGCCUGCGGCCCAUCAGUUAGUUGGUAGGGUAACGGCCUACCAAGGCGAAGACGGGUAGGGGGUGUGAGAGCACGGCCCCCCACACUGGGACUGAGACACGGCCCAGACUCCUACGGGAGGCAGCAGCGGGGAAUAUUGCGCAAUGGACGGAAGUCAGACGCAGCGACGCCGCGUGCGUGAAGAAGGCCUUCGGGUUGUAAAGCCCUUUUCUGUGGGAAGAGGAAGGACGGUACCAUAGGAAUAAGCGUCGGCUAACUACGUGCCAGCAGCCGCGGUAAGACGUAGGACGCGAGCGUUAUCCGGAUUUACUUGGGCGUAAAGCGUGUGUAGGCGGCGUGACAAAGUUGGGCGUGAAAAGCCCCG
Molecule: ribosomal RNA, 578 nt
Filed under: uncultured organism
Description: bacterial SSU rRNA
Rfam family: Bacterial small subunit ribosomal RNA
Source: RNAcentral